Molecule: ribosomal RNA, 383 nt
Filed under: uncultured eukaryote
Lineage: Eukaryota
Description: partial 18S ribosomal RNA
Rfam family: Eukaryotic small subunit ribosomal RNA
Source: RNAcentral
CAAUAGCGUAUAUUAAAGUUGUUGCAGUUAAAAGCUCGUAGUUGGAUUUCUGGUGGGAGCGAUCGGUCUGGCGCUUAGCGCGAGUACUUGCAUCGUCUCCGGCCAUCCUUGGGGAGAGUCUGUCUGGCAUUAAGUUGUCGGGCAGAGGAUCCUCAUCGUUUACUGUGAAAAAAAUUAGAGUGUUCAAAGCAGGCUUAUGCCGUUGAAUAUAUUAGCAUGGAAUAAUAAGAUAGGACUUUGGUACUAUUUUGUUGGUUUGCGCACCAAAGUAAUGAUUAAUAGGGACAGUUGGGGGUAUUCGUAUUCCGUUGUCAGAGGUGAAAUUCUUGGAUUUACGGAAGACGAACUACUGCGAAAGCAUUUACCAAGGAUGUUUUCAUUAA